CGACUUCCGACCUCAUCAAUUUCAAAACAAUCAUCUGCUGAAUAAUUUAAAGUAAAAAAGGGUGGAAGGAAUGCCCGGUGAAUCGCUUUGUAUAUUUAUUGUGCGUGUAGUAUAAUGGUGCGUAUGUAAAUCGAUUUGUUUCUCAAUUUAUCGGGCCGAUUUAUGUGGUGAAAACAAAACUCCGAUUAUUGUAUAAUAUUAUAAUAUGAGAGGAUUGUGUUGUCAUUUCACGCCGACAAGUUGUGGACAAGGUACUAAACACACACACACACCAAUGUUGUUGGGACAUUUGUCAACAAUUACGUGGCGGUCAACGUGCAUCUGAUGCAUACAGAGCGUUUCACGUCAAGUCGGACGGACACGCAUAACAUUAUUAUAUAUUAUGUAUACAUUCAAUUAUCUAUACAGGGUCUUACUUAAAUAAUUUGAAAAAAUAAAAAGUGCACGUCUGCUGUCACCGCAAAACGCUGUUCGUAUGACAUCAUUCCGCAUCCGUGUGAUAAAUGUACAGCUACAUACUACUCAUAUGAAAAAUAUUCAUCAUAUCUCAUAAAUAUUUAACCACCUCUCAUAUCGAAAUAUCGCAACAGAUGAUUGUCUCCGACGAUCAAGCUGGGCCAUCGGCUGAUGGUGAAAUGUACAGUGAGAUUGCAAUGGAAAGAGUUGAAAAUAUUGACUC
Molecule: long non-coding RNA, 679 nt
Organism: Metopolophium dirhodum (rose-grain aphid)
Lineage: Eukaryota; Metazoa; Arthropoda; Insecta; Hemiptera; Aphididae
Exons: 4
Source: RefSeq, a predicted model, not a curated record